GGCGGUUCUCAGGUGACACACCCGGGAUCGGGCUCCCUCCUCUCUGUUUUUGGGGUGUGUUACCUGAGAACCACC
Non-coding RNA from Myotis brandtii (Brandt's bat), 75 nucleotides. NCBI's taxonomy places the organism in Eukaryota, Metazoa, Chordata, Mammalia, Chiroptera, Vespertilionidae. The record is from Rfam.